Molecule: long non-coding RNA, 2266 nt
Filed under: Mytilus galloprovincialis (Mediterranean mussel)
Lineage: Eukaryota; Metazoa; Mollusca; Bivalvia; Mytilida; Mytilidae
Source: RNAcentral
UUUCUAUAACUACUUUAGUAUUGUGAUACUGUCAGCUGAGGGAACAGCAAUCAUUUGUUUCCUAUAACUACUUUAGUAUUGUGAUACUGUCAGCUGAGGGAACAGCAAUCAUUUGUUUCCUAUAACUACUUUAGUAUUGUGAUACUGUCAGAUGAGGGAACAGCAAUCAUUUGUUUGCAAUAACUACUUUAGUAUUGUGAUACUGUCAGCUGAAUGAACAGCAAUCAUUUAUUUGCUUGGUUAUUUUAAAACUAUAUAAAAAAAACAAAGAUCAUAUCAUGGGACAAUUGUAAGUCAUGGUUAUCAGGUUUCAUCUAUUUUAUAAGAAUCAGUGGAAACUUUUUAAUUUUUAUUAUGUUAAAUUUCUACUACACUAUUUAUAAUUUUACAUGGAUGAGCCCCCACAAAGAAAAUGAUACAGUCAUAAAUAUUUCUCUUCCUUCUUUACCAAAGCAAGUGAGGUAAAAUUAAAACAAAUUUCUUGAAGUCUUUUUUCAUGGGGGAUCCUUGAAGAAAAUCACGGUUAUUUCAAUGGUAAAACACCGAAUUGUGCUGGUCGUUUACUAAAUUAUGGUAGUCAAAAUCUUUGAGGUUAAAUUUUACCAGAAACUUGCAAGUAGAUGUAGCCUAACUUUUUAAAGAUUUUUUCUUUUUAAAGAUUGGAUCAAUUUUUCCUAAUUUAUGAGAAAUGAAGUUCCUGCGUAAGAAAACUGGACAGGAUUUUAAAUAGGCAAUUAGUUAUCACAAUAGUAGAUUUAAGCUUAUCCUGUACUUAUGGAUGGAAAAUAAAAUUAUCAUGCAGCUUUUAUUAAUAGAACAGCUCAAAAGGCUAUUUGCCAAUUCCCGUAAUUGACCCUGUAAUUAGAGAUCCCUUCUUUAGUUGUCUCCCUUAUGAGGGACAUUAAUUUUUAUCUACAACGGAGAGCUAGCAGAAAGAGCAAAUCUACCUGUGCCUAAUGUGAGAAAUCUAUAAGGUUUUCAAAUCUUUUAAUUACAUUAAUUUGUUGUUUAACUAAAUACGUUUGACAUCAGAAAUUAUUUUUCAUGAAAAAUUAGUUAAACCGCCGGUACAUCACUUUUAAUUCAUUAUGCUUUGCAUUGGCAAAAGCCAAUUUGUCCGUCAUGGAACCAGUCUACCAUUGACAAAGGGAAGUAAUUUGUUUAAGAAGUGUGUAACAACAGAAUCAAAUCGGUAAUUGGCAAAUUAUUCUUUUUAUACACAUGCCAAUUGUUAUUGGAAUUGUACUGUACACACGGUUUGCUCCUAAGCAUUAUUAUUUACACUGAAAAUUUAUUGAAUAGAUAAACAAAAUGUUUGUCUUAUAAUUUUUAGAUUAAAUAAAGGGUUGCCUUCAAUGAGUACCACUAAUUACCUUUCUUUUUUGUAAAGAAAAUGAUGACAAUUAUGAGUUAAAUUAUGGAAAGUAAAUCCAGAAGUUAUUUGUUGUAGCAAAUGUAGAUCAAUUUACCAAAAUAUGUUUACCUAACUAAUGAAAUUGUAAGAACAUCUUGAUAAAAGUGAUGUGAUCAGAAAAUAUGUUUGGAGUUCUUUAAAUAAAGUAAUAUUAAUCAUGUCAAAUUUUUUGCAUACCGCAUAUAUAAAUAUUGUAAAUAGUACUAAUUAAGAGUACAUUUACUGAAUGAUACAAGAUUGUAGAUUCUGCAUAAGUAUUUCAUUGUAACCAUAUUAGAAUGUUGCUUAUUAUGUCUUUUUUUUCUAUAACUAAUAGAGAAGGGUAAAACUGAAAAACAGAUAAUGUGUUCAGAAUUCAUUUAGCAUGCACAAAAAUUGUUUAUAUAAUGGUUCUGUUUUACAUUCAUACAGUUAAAUUCUAUUCACUUGCAUUUAUUUCCUGUGUGUUCAUGUCUUCAUAGUGCUUUUUUAAAUGGCACCCAAGGCCCCAGAGAAAAAGAUUAUAUCCAGACAAAGAAUGAUGUUCAUAAGUUUAGUUGAAGAUGAUUAUUUUUGUAUUAUGCACUGACUUUUUUUCUUUGAAGAAUGUCACUAAGAAAAAAAAAUAGUUUCUUUUAUUUUUACUCUAUAGAAGACAAUAAUCUAAAUGCUAAUAUAAUACAAAAAAAAAUUAUAUAGAUAGGAUUUUAUAGGUUUGAAUUUUGAAAAUAAAAGUAGUAAGGCCAUGAUAGAUUAUUUCCAUACACAUUUGGUGUAUUUUUCUCAUUUUUUGUUAAAUCUUUUUUAACUCUAUGCUUGCAAUACUUAGAAGAUUUUAUCAUGUUAUCACGAGGCAAUAUAUGUUUCUCGAGA